CCCGAAAGAUCGAAUGAGGAGACUCAUCGUCAGCGGGAUCGGCUUCCAUGUGGUUCGCAUGAUCUGAGACUUGUACUUACGUGCAUGUUCAAUUUCACGCUUCCGCUGUGGCAUGUCUGGUUUCGUCGGCGUGCACUUCUCCUCUAGUAGAACGUCGCGACCCGCUGGGUGUCGGUUUAAGGGCCGAGAUUGAAGACUGUUUCGUCGCUUCGGCGUGCGAUUACAGGCGCUUGGACUCCCGACCGGCUGCUCGGCGGUAUACAAACAAGGUAUCGAGCCGCACUCGUAUGCGUUCAGACUCGUCGCAAGCCCGACCAUUGUUAGUCCUGGAGUUACGGACUUGGCGCCGUACCCGGGGAUGGUUAGCUGUUGGUUGACGAUGUUCUCGAACCGGCUUAACUCGAAUGCGAUACCGGUCAGCGACGCUAUUGCUUUGGGUACUUCAGGA
Molecule: ribosomal RNA, 448 nt
Filed under: Baryconus sp. M175
Lineage: Eukaryota; Metazoa; Arthropoda; Insecta; Hymenoptera; Scelionidae
Description: eukaryotic LSU rRNA
Source: RNAcentral